UGUGAAAAGGAAACUGGCAGGAAAACAAGCCACAGUGGAAGCUGGGGAUGAACUGUUAAGGGGCGGAUUUUGGAGCACUGACUGGUGAAAAGGAAGAUGCUGCUGACAGAAAGAAAAAAUGUGGUCCUGAUGAGCACAUUGCAGAAGGUUGAAGACAAGAAAGCGUCUGAGACCGGCACACCAUGCCACAAAUGUAGAAAAUAUGUCUGCGUGUCACACACAGCACAGAAACAAAAUAAAAUGUGUGCACUGGCUGAACAGACAUCCGAAGGAGUUUAUAAAUCCAGCCAUCUAGCCACAUGUGCUCUAAAUAAAGGUUUAAUGCGCAAAGUGACACAUUACAGGAAUCAUUUUUUGUUAAGUUUUGCUUUGAUCCAUCUGUGUAGCGUUAUAUCGAUAUACUUACUAAACUCUAUCAGUGGGCUAAAAUAAAUCAAACCUAAAUGAUUUGUAUGUGCCCUGAGAUUGAUUGGCAAAAUGUUUGUUGCCCUGUAUCCUGUGCUAUGAGCCACUAGGGCCUGGCUCAUGGUGACCGCUGUUAUGGAAGAUGAAUGGAUUGAUAGACUGUGUUUGUAAAUUAGGUACCAUAUGAAUUUUGCUAGGGGUGAGAGUAAAAUAUUUAUUAUAACCACUGUAAGGUGAUUUAGCCACUGGGUCAAAAUUAACCUGCCAGUGUAACAGAUGUAAAUAUUAUUUCUGAACAUAAUAGACAAAUUAAGAUAACUUUGAAGUUUAACACCUGGAGGAUAGAUUUGUAUUUAAUGUUUCCUUUUUCAU
This is a long non-coding RNA of Paramormyrops kingsleyae, 777 nucleotides long. RefSeq lists it as uncharacterized. NCBI's taxonomy places the organism in Eukaryota, Metazoa, Chordata, Actinopteri, Osteoglossiformes, Mormyridae. The record is from RefSeq and is a predicted model, not a curated record.